UCUGAGCAGUGCCUGCUUAUGUUUCCGUUUCCGUGGCAACUGCAAGGCAGGGCGCGAGGAGCUAGGGGCGAGGCAAGUUCUGCAGCUGACCGGGUGGGAGGAGCUACGUCCGGCUCUCCAGGUCCUGCUUUGUCUCUGUCUGGAGUCUCUGACAUCUUCCCAUCUUCAGAGUGGGUGCAGAAGUUGCGCACUUUGGCAAGCGCAGAGGCCGGCACUCCAUAAAAGAGAAGUGCCCUGUUUAUGUGAGCCGUCAGCGACCCGCAAAAAGGCUUUUCUUAGUUUUCAUUCUUAGUUAACGUUAAAAUUUAGUGGCAAACUUUACAAAGAAUCUGCAGUUCCUUUAGGGGCAUGCCCUGAAUCGCACAAUAGAGAGACAGGAUUCGGGGAGGGAGGAAAAUGUGGGGGGAAAGUGGAGAAGAGGGAGAGGGGAAAGAGGAGAGCCAACGCAGGAAGCAACAGACCCAAACCACAGACCAUUAUCGAGGGAGGGAACAAAGGAGGUACGAACCUCUCCCCAACCCUGUAGCAGUAUGAACCUCCAUCUAGAGGCUGCAAUGGAGUCCUGAUUUAUGCUAGGCCCAGUUCCCCAAGUCUUUGUGGAGAAAGCAGCCAGCCAGACAACACACCAAGGGUCCCAGGGAUGUUUUUUUGAUGAAAGGGUUCAACAGAGAAAGGAAUUGGGAAAAGCUGAGAAAGGCCAGGCACAACUCAGCAUGUCCUGACUUCGAGGAGCCGGAAUCAGCCAUAGUGACUGUGGCUGGCACCCAUGGGGAAAAGCCAGGUUCUGUGGCACACAUCUUUGAAGCCUGUGCAGACAAGACGAUCCCUGGUGUGCACUGCUAGCCGAUCUAGUCUGUUCUGUGAGCUCCAGGCUCAGGAAGAGACUCCAUCUGAAAAAAUAAAUGAGGUGAAGAGCAGUCCAGGAAGAAACCUGAUGUUGAUUCUGGCCUUUAUCUAUGUGCCCGCCCACAAUUCAUGGAAAUACAAAGAGACAUCUAAGGACCCCCUGUGCUCCCUCAGCACAAAGAUACCUGCUCUGAGUGUUCUGGUGAUGAGACUUAGCCCUGAAGGAACCCAUGGACCUAAGCCACAGUGUGCACUUUGGGUAACUCCGGGAGGUUUUCUGUAAGACUGCAGCUGUGUGCCAGGAAGACCACACCCACACGUCACAUCUCUUCAGGGACAUCGAGCGGGAAGUUGUGUCCUUUCUUUACCCCAUUGCAUCGCACAUUUCCUAUAAUAUCCCUGCUCAUUAUUCUGCAUGGCACAGGACAUGGCUUAUUCCCCGUUAGCAUUUCAUAAUAUUUGCUAUUAGAAAGUAAGUCCUAUGACAGGAAGAGAUGUUAUAAAUUGGAUGUUUAAUUAACAGGAAUAAAACUAUGG
Molecule: long non-coding RNA, 1383 nt
Organism: Mus musculus (house mouse)
Lineage: Eukaryota; Metazoa; Chordata; Mammalia; Rodentia; Muridae
Product: RIKEN cDNA 4930434B07 gene
Exons: 3
Source: RefSeq, a predicted model, not a curated record